This 457-nucleotide ribosomal RNA is filed under the name Penicillium sp. GBPI_P53. RNAcentral's name for it is "eukaryotic LSU rRNA". The stretch from base 151 to 304 matches the Rfam family "5.8S ribosomal RNA". Lineage: Eukaryota; Fungi; Ascomycota; Eurotiomycetes; Eurotiales; Aspergillaceae. The record is from RNAcentral.
ACCUCCCACCCGUGUUUAUCGUACCUUGUUGCUUCGGCGGGCCCGCCCCAAGGCCGCCGGGGGGCAUCUGCCCUCUGGCCCGCGCCCGCCGAAGACACCAUUGAACGCUGUCUGAAGAUUGCAGUCUGAGCAAUUAGUUAAAUAACUUAAAACUUUCAACAACGGAUCUCUUGGUUCCGGCAUCGAUGAAGAACGCAGCGAAAUGCGAUACGUAAUGUGAAUUGCAGAAUUCAGUGAAUCAUCGAGUCUUUGAACGCACAUUGCGCCCCCUGGUAUUCCGGGGGGCAUGCCUGUCCGAGCGUCAUUGCUGCCCUCAAGCACGGCUUGUGUGUUGGGCUCCGUCCUCCUUCCGGGAGGACGGGCCCGAAAGGCAGCGGCGGCACCGCGUCCGGUCCUCGAGCGUAUGGGGCUUCGUCACCCGCUCUGCAGGCCCGGCCGGCGCUUGCCGACACAUCAA